RNAcentral lists this ribosomal RNA (381 nucleotides) under Burkholderia mallei. Its description in RNAcentral is "bacterial SSU rRNA". It matches the Rfam family "Bacterial small subunit ribosomal RNA", at positions 66 to 455 of the family's 1533-position model. Lineage: Bacteria; Pseudomonadati; Pseudomonadota; Betaproteobacteria; Burkholderiales; Burkholderiaceae. The record is from RNAcentral.
UUUGCUUUUCCUGCCGGCGAGUGGCGUUUUAGGAAGAGGGGAGACAUCGGAACGUGCCCUGUAGUGGGGGAUAACUAGUCGAAAGAUUAGCUAAUACCGCAUACGACCUGAGGGUGAAAGUGGGGGACCGCAAGGCCUCAUGCUAUAGGAGCGGCCGAUGUCUGAUUAGCUAGUUGGUGGGGUAAAGGCCUACCAAGGCGACGAUCAGUAGCUGGUCUGAGAGGACGAUCAGCCACACUGGGACUGAGACACGGCCCAGACUCCUACGGGAGGCAGCAGUGGGGAAUUUUGGACAAUGGGCGAAAGCCUGAUCCACCAAUGCCGCGUGUGUGAAAAAGGCCUUCGUAGUUGUAAAGCACUUUUGUCCGGAAAGAAAAGACU